RNAcentral lists this ribosomal RNA (443 nucleotides) under uncultured bacterium. RNAcentral's name for it is "partial 16S ribosomal RNA". It matches the Rfam family "Bacterial small subunit ribosomal RNA", at positions 338 to 795 of the family's 1533-position model. The record is from RNAcentral.
CCUACGGGUGGCUGCAGUGGGGAAUAUUGGGCAAUGGGCGCAAGCCUGACCCAGCAACGCCGCGUGAAGGAAGAAGGCUUUCGGGUUGUAAACUUCUUUUAUCAGGGACGAAGCAAGUGACGGUACCUGACGCAUAAGCCACGGCUAACUACGUGCCAGCAGCCGCGGUAAUACGUAGGUGGCAAGCGUUAUCCGUAUUUAUUGGGUGUAAAGGGCGUGUAGGCGGGAAUGCAAGUCAGAUGUGAAAACUAUGGGCUCAACCCAUAGCCUGCAUUUGAAACUGUAUUGCUUGAGUGCUGGAGAGGCAAGCGGAAUUCCGGGGGUAGCGGUGAAAUGCGUAGAGAUACGGAGGAACACCAGUGGCGAAGGCGGAUUGCUGGACAGUAACUGACGCUGAGGCGCGAAAGCGUGGGGAGCAAACAGGAUUAGAUACCCGAGUAGUC